UCCAAGUUGUUGUAUGAGAUAUAAGGACAUGAAAUGCGUCGAAUGGGGGCAAUACGUUGAACAGACUUCGGGCUUCUGUGUGUGUCCUCUGAGUUCUGGGACUUUUCAUUGACUCUAGCCUAGCUGAUCGGAAAGCAGCUGUUUUUGAAAAGUUCAAGUGGUCUUUUGGUUAAUCUAUAUUAGAGUAUCUGUUUUAGAAACAACCUAGUACUGAAUAAGAUUGUCAGAGUAUCUGUGAGCUUUGUUUAUUGCUGUGGAGGACUUCUUUUUCGGAGUAUCUGUAGUUUACUGUGAUUGUUAAUAAGGUUUUCUUUCUCCAUGAAACAAAAACAUACUGAAUCACUUUGGUUGCAUAAAGAUUGGUGCCUUUGGUGAAGCUACACUUUGGUUAUACUUUCAGAAAUUUUGGUUUAAUGCAAGAGCAUUUGUAGUGUUUUUAUUUCUCACUGAAAAAGGAUCAAGAGGUUCUUCUUCUGGAGACUUCAGUGUCAAGUCUGCCCCUUUGCUGAAUUUUCCCAAAUGAGAAUUCCCAGCUGUUCCUUCAUAUGGAAAUCCAAAUUGCCUCCUAAAGACAAAUGCUUUCUUCUUCAAAUAAGUAACCAAGGAACGAAGACUUAAAGAGGCGUAUGGUUUCUGAGUAGUCUAGAAGGAGAUCUUGUUACCCCCAACAACUUCAAUACUCUCAGUUUGAAUGCUGCUAUGACUGGGUUGAAGCCUCUUAGGCAUGACCCUCCUUCUCAGUUGGGUAUAUCCCCUGGAAUUUAGGCAGUUUUUCUAUGGCUUGCUGGAUGUUAUGGAGGAGGAGAUGCUGUAGGGCCUUUGGAAGGGAAUUUCAGUUGAGGCGUUUUUGUUCACCCAUUCUCAACCCUGGGACUCAGUUCAGCUACCCUUUCUGCGUUUCCUUUGUUUGGCUUUUUAUGAAGUCCAUGUAUGAGGACCAGUCCACUGAUUUUGGAGACACGGGGCAGAAAUAAAAGUUGACGCCUUUUAUAUUCAACACCCACUUCAUUUUGAACAAAAAUAAAAAUAAAAAAUUCCAUAUUUAUGUGCUAAGUUGGUUAGUUUAAGUAAAAGAUGGCCACUAUGUGAAAAAUAAAGAGAAGUGCCUAAAUCUUUUCAAAAUAAAGCUCAAAAAGCAUUCAUUAGAUGUAUAAAGAGACUUUUUUACUACUAUAAUUCUUGGCCUAAAAUGUUUUAUAGGAAUUCCAUUUUUUAAGGGGCCUUGUGCUGUCGGCCGUCCUGCACACCUUGCGGGUGGGGGCAUGCCAUGUAUUAUUCCAAACUCGUCAUUUUCGUUACUUUUUCCUACAAUUCGAUCAAUGUCAUUCCUAUCCUCUUAUGUUAUACGUAAAUAUAUGUAUAUUUUAACGUUCAAUGGUUAGAUUACCGUCAUUUUACGUCAAUUUCGUCAAUUAUAUUAAAGCCAACUCGUCUAAAGUUCUACUAUCAAAUGACGGAUAUUUACAAUUGUUUGAUUUUGAAAAUUACCGUCAUCCAUAUAACUGACAACAACUAUUGAGCCUCAUCUAUACACAAGGACUAUAGCCUAGCGCGACUUUGGGCCUAAAUGCUUUUGUUUUAGAAUCUCUAAGCCACGCCCUCUCCUUUAGUCACACGCUUUACACAAAAUUUGGUACGAAAAUACCAAAAAAAUAGAGAUAGCUUAAUUGAAAUUGGUUUAUUCAUGGAAUUCAUAUAUCAUAAAAAACAAAAACAAAAAGAAUAAUAAAUAAAACAAAUCAAAAUAUUAGCGUGCAAUAUUCUGGCAAAGAAACAAUGGAAACUCCAGUUCUGAACUUCACCAAUUCCAUCAAUCCCAUGACCUCCAUUACUCGACCCUUGCCCUCUUUCGGUAAUUUUCUUCUGCCCCAGCUCUCUAUAUUAUAUAGCAUUAAAUAUGGUGAUUCUCCGCAUCUUCAAAUUAAAGGUAGUGAUUAUAAUAUCUCUCUAAUUAAAAAUAAUUUUUAUUAGAAAUCAUCCACUUUUUAACUGUCUUAAUUUUAGUCCUCAAACUUUCAAAUUAAUAAAUAUGACCUCCAAAAUUUUGGUUCACACAUAAGUUUGGUCCGUAUCAUAUUUUGGAGAUGUGCAGGCAACGCAAGUGACCUCCCCACUACAAAAAAAAAGUGGCAACAAUUAUCAUUAUUUGGUGACAUUUGCUGGGGUGACUAAAGUUUUAGCCAUCCCAGCAAAUGUCACCAUAUAAUGGUGAUUGUUGUCACUUUUUUUUUGUAAUGUCCCCUUAAUCACCAAACUAGUUAUUGCCACUAAUGGAAGGUCAAGACUGCAACCCCCACUCCUUCCUAGUUACUUUGGCAAUGCGAUUUUCACAACAACGCCAAUUGCUGUCGCAGGGGAUUUCCAAUCAAAAUGAACAUGGUACGGAGCAAGCCACAUUCAUGAUGUUUUGGUUCAUAUGGAUGAUCAAGGUUUUAAAACGCAAGGUGUUGAGGCGAGAUGCUUUUGAUCUCGCAAGGUGAAGUGUAACCCUUUCAAACAUUAAUUAUUUUAAUUAAAAAUAUAAAAUUAUAUAAAAUAAUUAUAAACGGGUACUAAUUGUCUCCUAAGUAGAAUAAUCAAGUAUUCUAGGAGGACAAUUUAGGGUACUGCAGAUAUGAUUUCUGGUUCAACAAUUCUGUAGAUAUGAUUUCUGGUUCAACAAUUCUACUGCGUGGGAAGGGCAUAAACAGUUGCAGGAUAUUUACCCUAAAUCUCACAGAGUCUUAAAAAUAGGCUAAAGACUGUUAAAUUGCGAGCAUGCCACUAUUAGCAGUGUAAAACCCUAAUAGAUCUUAAUGAAUUAAAAUAACUUAUGCACCAAGAAACCUGACUUCCAAUCAAACAAUUGUGCUUGGAAUAGAGAACUGGUUCAAUAUGGAUUUUUUCUAUGCCUCAAGAUAAACGAGGACUUUAUUAUUUCUCUAAUACAAAGCUAAGAGAUAAAAAACAUAAACAAGUAAACAAUGUGUCAAAUCGAUCAUAUCUGGUGAGAACUAAGACUGCCAUUACCUUUGAGUUGCCUCAUAGCCACUAGAACGAGAGUAUUUUUGUUCACCACUUUAACCCAAGUUGUACCAUUAUCACCCUUCUCAACACUUGACACGUAUCUGUGGGCAUAACUAUGGUUAUGCACAUGGACAGUGGCAAAGCCAUGAAUCUUACCACAAGGGGUCUUAGUGUAAAAGUCCAAAUAAAAAUUUAGGAUGGAAAAACAUAUUGAAAAUGAAAUCAUAGUAUUUUCAUUCAUAAUUCAUAACGGAAACAAUAUUACAAGCUAUAAUUGUCCAUGACGAGGUUUCAUAUUUUGAAAACGAAGCAUUAUAGCUUCAUUUUCAAUACAAGCAAAAAUAUCUCUCUCAAUAUAAACAAGCAAGCUAUCACUCAACCAUUGAUCUCCCAUUUUGUUCCUAAGUGGACCCUUAACAAUAUUCAUGAUAGAAAAUGCUCUCUUCACUGAAGCAGUUGCAACCGGUAAAACUAAAGACAAUGUAAUGAGCAAAUACACAUAAUUGAAUACUUGAUGCAUCCUUGUUUCCACCAUUUUUUUUUUUGCAAGAUCACCAAUCCCUUCCAGUUGAGAAAAGUCACUACUAGAACGCACAUAAUGGAUAUAAAUCUCAAGUUGAUCUUCAAGUGCCAAACGAUCCUCAUCCGAAAAGUCUUAAGGAUAAAAUUGAGCAAGACGAAGUAACUUUGAUUUAUCAAAAGCUAUAAAUGAAUCUUUCGGACUCAAACAUGCCAAACAAAUUAGCAAUUCGGUAUUUACCUCAUUAAAGCGAUCCUCUAACUCCGUAAUUUUUUCAUCAAUGACAUAAAUAAAGAGCUUCACACGAUAAUGAUGACGAUUUGUCUUUAUUGGAGCAUUACGCCUUGACCUCCCUGGAAGUAUAAAUGCCUCUUCCAUGUUAGGAACAUAAAUAUGAUGUUUUUCACAAAAAGAAAAUAUUUCAUUAACCAAUGUAUCGAACCCAUUAUUCCUCAUCUAAUGUAGCUUUUCCUUGCAUGAUUUCACUAAAGUCAUUGCAUUCACAAUUUCUUGAUCUUUCCUUUGCAAUGCUUGUGACAAAUCAUUUGUGAGUCCCAAUAUGGCUUUCAUCAAGAAAAGGUGAAACACAAACUCAAAAAUACGUAUUUCUCUCAUUAACUUAUUUGCUUCACCCGCAUUUUCAUUGGGAUUAUCAUCAAUAACCAUUUGAAGCACAUGAACCACUGAUGAAAACAUAGAAAUGAUGCUAAUCAAGGUACCAUAGUAUGAGUUUCAUCAUGUGUCACCGGCAUGUUUGAGACUUGUUUCUUGAUUUAAGUCUCGCCCCGUUAUAAGACAAUCAUGUUCAAAAGCUAUCACAAGCUCUUCAUAAAGUUGCCCUCUAAGUAAAUCACGCCGCUUACAAGAUGCUCCAACAUGAUUAACCACACUAUUAGUAGUUGCAAAAAAAGAGGCAAAUGUCUAUAUUUUUCUUUGCUACGGCAACAAGAGCUAGUUGAAGUUGAUGAGCAAAGCAAUGAACAUAAUAUACACAAGGUUGUUCUCUCAAUAUCUUUGUUUUAAGGCCAUUCAACUCACCUCUCAUAUUGCUAGCAUCAUCAUAACCUUGUCCUCGUAGCUUGGAAAGGCACAAAUCGUUGCGAGAAAAAAAUGUGUCAAUAGCAUCCUUUAGUGAACUUGAAGUAGUGUCAGUAACAUGUUGGAUACCCACAAAUCUUUCAAUUACAUGCCCUUUGUUAUCCAUAUAACGCAAUACCAUAGUCAUUUGCUCUUUCACCGACACAUCACGUGCUUCAUCCAUCAAUAUUGAAAAGAAUUUAUCUUUUAGACCAUCCAUGAUAGCAUCAAGUGUUUCAAGGGCAUAUGAAUUCACAAUUUCUUUUUGAAUGCAAGGAGCUAGUAAUUUGAGAUUCCCAGGAGCAUUUUCCAUCACAACUUCUCUAACUUUAUCAUCAUUAUCUGCAAGGAAUUGCAAUAGCUCCAAGUAAUUUCCCAUAUUGCUUGAAGUGGCACUUUCAUCAUGGCCACGAAAAGCAAGACCUUGUCGCAAUAAAAACUUAGUGCACUUGAUUGAUGCAUUCAAGCAUGUGCGAUAAGCCUUACGAGCUUGGUCGGAGUGUUUGCUCACUGCCGUUUCAAUAUGUGUAUUUCGAUUCAUCAAAUUUGUAGCAGCUUCUCUAGCCUUAUUAUGAACACUCCCAACCGGUCCAACAUGCAUCUUAAAUCUUCCUCUCCCUUUCUUCCAAUUCUUAAAUCCAUCUUCAGUGAAAGCUUCACUACCCACUUGUUCAAAAUUGGUUUAAAGAGAUAGCAAUAGAGACAAUAUGCCGCAUCUGUAGAUAUACUAUACUCCAACCAAUCAAACUCAUCAAACCAUUGGGGAAUGAAACGUUGAUUAAUUCCUGACAUAUUAGUUAUUGGGAAAUUAUGACCUCUAGGUUGACAAGGUCUUUUUUGUAGAUAUGAUCUUCGGACCUCAUCUCUCAUAUUAGCAUCAUAAUCUAUCAUUCGAGUUCUUAAUCCAGGGUCCGCUUGAAGAUUACCUAAAACACCAUAUAACUGACUUUGUCUUGAACUUGGAGUUCUUGAACUACCAACAUUAUUUGAACUAUCAACAUUAUCCGAACUACACGAACCUGAUCAUGAUUUUCUCUUAAAAAACCGUUCCAUAAUAUUCUACAUAUACAAAACAAUCAAAAUAAAUACUCACAAUAUAAACAAACCAUCAACAUAAUCAAAAUACAUAUGAAUUGGAUUUCAAUUAAAUUAAAUAUAUUCUACAUAUACAAAAUAAUGAAAAUAUAAACUCACAAUAUAAACAAACCAUCAAUAUAAUCAAAAUAAAUAUGAAUUGAAUUUCAAUUAAAUUAAAUAUAUUCUACAUAUACAAAAUAAUGAAAAUAAAAAAUUAUAAUAUAAUCAAACCACCAAUAUAAUCAAAAUAAAUAUGAAUUAGGUUUCAAUUAAAUUAAAUAUAUCAUACAUAGUAACAUAGGAUUUAAAACUUACUUGAAUUGUGAAAUUUCACAAUAACAAUGAGCAAAUACAAAGAGAGUAGCUAGCGGCACCACCACAACGACGACGACGGUAGCACAAAGGCACCUCAAUUGUGGCAGCCAGGGAGGGGAUUGAGUUGAAGGUUUUGGGGGGGUUGGUGUGGGGUGGGAAUUGAGUUGGGAACUUAGGGUUGGAGGAGGAGAAAACAAAAGAAAAUUGGGAGUUUUGGAAUGGAGGAAUUGGGUUUGUGGAAAAGCAAUGGCUGGAGGAUACGUUGGUCAUUAUUUUUUUUUUUCAGACCUGGCUCAAAACGACGUCGUUUUUGCCAGGUUAUUUACAAAAAAUUCACUGUGCCAAAACAACGUAGUUUUGGCCAGGUCAUUUAAAAAAAUUCCCUGAGCCAAAAGGACUUUCCUGAGCCAAAACUACGUCGUUUUGCCCAGGUUGUUUAAAAAAAAAAACUCGCACGCCAGUCAGCCUUCUUCUUUUUCAGCCUGCGAACCUUCCUUCUUCUUUCAGACAUUUCGUCGACCACUUGGUGUGCAGCUCCAAGAGGUCGCACCAGCAGCUCCAAGGGACCUCUAAGCCUAUUUCCAUGGCUUCCAAGAGGUCGUGCGACCCCAUUGACCCCACUGUGGCUCCGCCUCUGCACAUGGACACUUGUCAAGUGUUGAGAACUAUGUGUAUCUUUUUAUGUUUAUUAAUAAAAUUCACUCGUAUCAUAGAGUUUAAUAUAUAAAUUUUGCCCAAUCGACUUUCAAAUUCUAGAACCGCCACUAGGGUGUAGUGUGCAGUUCGAACAUUGAGGCGGUCAUAGGUUUUGAGAAGGAUAGGCCACUGAGAGGUGUCCAUGGAAGGAGUCGGGGUUAAUGAAGUCUUUGUCCAAAUCAUUGUCUUUAUGUCUAUGCUUUUUCUUCUUUUUCUUCUUUAUAUCUGCCCUUUUCGCCACGGCCUUCACUGGGGUUCGAUCAUCAUCAGAAGCCAUUUCCUGCACAUUAGACAGAACAAAAAUGAAAAAAAAAAAAAGAAAAAAAAGAACACUAGAACAGCAGGUAAAACCCAACAUCAAAUACAAAUUUUAUUCUGGGCAAAAUUUAAGAGAAAAUAAUCGCUCUGAUUUUUCCAUUGUCAAACAAAAAAAACACUUAAUUAAUCAUUACCCAUAAUAGAGUUAUAUUAUAUGCUUGGGGAUGGUGGCUUUCCUAAACAAAGCAUUAUCAUUAAGUUCCCAGUAAAGAGAUUAACACAAAAUGGCAGGGGUUUUACAAAUAAACUAGUUUCAGGUGCAGUGACAUGUUAGGAACCCUUAUCAGCUUCUGAAGACAAAAGAAGAGACUUUCACAUACAAAUCACUUGGAAGUAUUCAUAACAGAAAACCCAAAAGAGGGCAAGUAGAAAAUCAAUACCUUUUACUUAAAAGCACCUAAUCGGAAUGGUUCGGCGGCGGCAGAGGUAGGGGUUUUAAGAAGAGAAAGAGAGAAGAGAAGAGGAGAGAGUGGCGGGAGUUAGGGUUAUGCAAUUAACCCUGCUAUUUUAUGUUUUAUUAAUUACAAUUUUGGAGAUUUCUCACCUGUUCUUUUCUGGGAUCAUCUAGGAUAGAAAAAACCAAAUGUAACAGAUCAGAACCAUGAACAAACAAACUUUUCUUUCUCUUUUUCAUGUCAGUUUCAGAGGAAACAAACAGAGAAUUGGAUAGAGAAAUACCAUGGUUGCGAAGUUGAGCUGACGACUAGAGGAAGAGACGGCAGCAAACGAAGAAGGUCGAGGUCUCUCUCGCACUCGUUACCGUCUCCCAUGGUUGGAAAUUCAGAUCUGACCGCAUUGAGUCCGAUUUGAGAGCUCGAAGAGAGAGAAGGCUUGGCUGCCGGUGAAGAUGGGGUUUCCGUCGGUUAGGUGGGUGGGUGGGUACCUAAGGAAGAGAAGCCAUGGUUUUUGGUGUGAGUUUCUGGGACUGAGCUUGCAAUAUCCCACAUUCAUCUUUUCCCAGCUCUGUAAAUUUUCCAUCUCCAGGUUGAAAUGCAAGCUUUCGCGGGUGGGAGGCAAAGAAACCCACUAUAGCAGGUUAUCCAGUUUUUGUGUGUGGUGAUUUUAGUGAUUUUUCUUCACAAAUUAUUUUGAGCCAUUAGAUCAAAACUUUUAAAUCCAACGGUUAAAAGCUUUGAUGUAUAAGUAUUGAUACACCAGAGCAUAUUAGAAUUUUCGCUAGAUGACAUCUGUGAAGAAGUCACUAUAGAAUAGGCCUCAUUAUUUGGUCUGUGGGCUCAUGGGUCGAUAGGGGCUUGUCCGGCCCAUCGAAAAAAAGCCCGGCCCGGCCCAUUAUGGGCUUUGAGAUGGCUUGGCCAGCCUUGGGCUGGGCUAGGCUUGGGCUUGGGUGUCUCAAGCCCAGCCCAACCUGAUUAAGCCCAAGAAAGCUCGGCCUGGCUCGUUAGGCCCACAUACAUAUAUAAUUAUGUAUAAAUAGGAGUUUAGGUUUAGGAUUAAAUCACAUAUAUAAUUUGUUUCAUUUCAUUUACUUUUCUUUACUCAUUCCUAGUUUAUAAUUGGAUGAUUAACACAUUAAUUUGUGUCAAUUAUUAAUUCAACAAUUAUAUAUAUAAAUAAGAUGAACAACAUAUCACAUCACCAAAUAUAAUCAUAUCAUGAAACAUAAUCGUACCACCAAAUAUAAUCAUGCUUUUCUUGAACACAUCACCAAAUAUUUGCAUAUUUAUUCAUACCAUCCUUUAAAAAAAAAAAUUUGAUACUUAUUAUUUUUUAAAACGUAUUACGGUCUAAUUAUGUAAUAACCUCAAAAAUAAUACUUUGUUUUAUUAUUUUUUUGGAAAAUCUUAUUAAGUUGUGUGACUUUAUUUGGUGUUUUAUGAAUUUGGUUUGAUGUGAAAAUAUUGGAAUUAAGUUAGUUUAAUUUUAAAUUUGGACUAAAAUGCCCUUAUGAUUAAGUUUAUAAUUUUUUUUUAAUGAAGUAUGCCCAUUUAGGCCUGACCAGUUGGGCUUAGCCUUGCCCGGCCCGAUGGGCUUUCUCAAGUUUGGCCCAUGGGUUGGGCUUGGACUUUGAAUUUUCUAAAAAAAUCCGGCUUGGCCAAGCCAUAUAUUUUCUCUCUUCUUUUUAAAACCCGGCCCUGCCCAGCCCAAGCCCAUUAAAUUUGGGCCGAGCUAUACGAGCCCUACUACAGAAUGUCUUGAUUUGACAGUUACGUGGGUCCCAUACUUUUCAUGCAAAUUGAUCAGGAAGGUGAGAGGGAAGGGCCAUGAUGUUUUUUGGUUUUCUUAAGCAAUAGUUCUUGAACUAUACUCGUAGUUAUAUUUUGGUCACUCAACUCCAAAAAUAGAUGCAAAGAUCCCAUAAUUAUGUAUGGUGUUACAUUAGUAGUCCCUUUCGUCAAGUCUGUUUAUUUUUUCGUUAAAUCUAUGGAUAAACUUGAAAAUUCAUUCCAAAUAUUUAUAAAAACGAAAUAACAAAAAAUAAAUAAAUAAAGGUUAUUUGUAGCAAUGGUCCCUCAACUAUAGUCAAAGUUAUAUUUUGGUCACUCAACUCUAAAAAAUAGUUACAAAGGUCACUCAAUUAGAUGUAGUGUUGCACCAUUAGUCCUUACCGUCAAGUCUCUUUAACAGUAAAAACUAAUAGUGCAACACAACACCUAAUUGAUGAGCUGUUUGGGCCCUUGGCUGAUUGUUUCAAGUGGACAUACUUUGGUUUUGAUUUGAAUGGCAGAAGUGGUAGCUUAAUCCUACAAGUGCAUUUAUUGACCGAAAGGCAAAGGAUGGGACCAAUAAAUGUCUACAUCUAACCCAAAUAAGCUAGGCCUGCCCUUUCUUUUUAUAAUGAAUUCUCCAUACCUGUUCUUCACAAAUAUAUAGUGCACUAUUAAAGUCGGUCGCUCAACUUCGAGUGGUAUAACUUAAAAAAUAAAUAAAUAAAUAAAUAAAAUCGAGUAAUAUAAAGUAGGAGCUGAGGAAUCUUUAGAAGAUGAUAUUGUGAUGGAAAAAGAAGGUGAUUUUGAGAACUUGAGAGGGCCUUGGAUGGUUGUUCAAAAUAGGAGAAAACCGAAAAGUUGGGUUAAGGAUAGAGGAAACAAGGGAGCUGGAGGUCCCAGCAUAGGCUGUCGGUUUGACACGUUAAGAAAAGUGAAUGAAGACUUUGAUAGAAAUGGAGGGUUUGAUACUGGCAAGACUAAUUAGUUUGGGCCCAACCAUGUUGGCACAUCUAAGAGCACCUCCACCGCCCCGUCCACAGCCCCUCGAAGCUCAGGUUAGGCCCUCCAGCGUGCAGCCUGAAGAUCGGGCAAGUCCUGGGGCCCACUAGUCUGGGCAAGUCCAAGGGCAAUUCUUGGUUGGGCUCCAGCCCAAAGUGGUUGACGUCAACGAAGUGAAAUUAGAUUAUUAUUUUCUUUUACCGUUGGCGCAUGAAAUUCAGAUUUUUUUUUUCUUCUAUCAAUUUUUUUAUUUAUUGGGAUUUUCUAUUUAGAAUUACUAACGUACUCUUUUAUUUAGUUCAGUUGUUGAGAAGCACGAUAAUGGGCACUAGAAUAUCAGCCAGCGAAUCAUAGGACACUAGCCAGAUCAACAACAAUAGCCCAAUUGAUCAAGAUAAUUCUUUUCAUUAGUAUAGAACUUUGUUUAUGAUCUUGCGCUCUUGAAAAUCAUGUUAGUAUGGCUUCCUUUAUUUUUGGUAUGCGUUCUGUUAAAUUAGGUAAAUUAUGUAUACUUGUAUGUUAAAUUUAUGUACUAAAAUUUUAGGAAUGGAAGAAUCUUCUGCAAGACUAGACAAUAAUCAACAUGAUGAUGCAGUUGAAAUGAAUUUUAAUGGGAUUGAAAAGGAAAAUAAUGGGGAUGAAACUGAAAAUAAUGACAUUGUAAUGAGUGUUGAAGAAAAAGUACAAGACCCUCGAGUUAGAAUGAUUUUUGACAGUGUUGAUGAGGUGAUCACAUAUUACAAACAAUAUGGGAGGCAAUCAUAGUUUCCAGUGAUAAGGAGAUCAUCAAGAACUGGAGAUGAUGGAAAUUUCAAAUAUGUUACUAUUCUUGUGCCCAAUAAGACAAAUCAAAAAGUAAGUCAAGUAAUCUUCUUAAAUCUCAUCCAAGUAUAAAGAAUGAUUGCAAGGCUCAGCUUAGGGCAGGUUUAUUGAACGUCUUUUUUGCAGUUUCUUUAUAUUUUAAAUAAAUUCAGAGACUCUUUGGAUUCUGCGUGUAGUUUUCACCAAAAUUUCAUACACGCGAUUAGAAAUGGUAUUUCCUUACUUGACUUAUAACCGGCCCAUUCCCAUCCCUAAAGAUCACCAAUUUCAUUUUCAAUUAUUUUUGUUUGUAAAACUUAAGAUACUAUAUCUCUAGUAAUUCCAACACAAGACAAGCCAAUUCAAAUGAUAAUUUCAUGGAGUGAAUCUCUUUAAAAUAAGUGGUGAAGUAUUACUUUUUAGGAAUAGUAAAUCAAAUAAAUAAGCAUAAGUUAUUGGUUCCAAGCAUAAGUUAUUGAUACUAUUCUCUAAAAAGAAGAAUAUCAAUCAUAUAUGUUUAUCUAUAUUAUAACACAAAAAUAAAUCAUACCACUUAACCGUAACAUUUUAUAAUUUCUUGAAAAGUCCAAACCUUUUAAAUGAGGUUUCGUGUGAUUUUGUCAGGCUGAGAGGUCCCAUCUAAUGGUAGAAUUUUCCCAUAAAGGAGAGGUCCGACUCCCAAUGGAGACCCAUCGACCAAAAACAGUAGAGUAAUCCCCGCAAAGAAGAAACAAUUAAUAUUCAAGUGAGUAUGCCACCUAAAUAAUAAUGAGGACAUCGUGGAACAGUUUCGAACCACGAUCUACUUUGUUUUCUUCUUAUAAUUGUGAAAUUGAUACCGUUGAUGCAUUGAGGACAGAGACAAUUCGACACUGACAAGGGUCUUUAUUUGAAAAUGCUCAGGGGGUGAGAAUGAAUACGAUAUCUACCUAUCACAUCACGUGAUAAAAAUCUAAUAAGUAUAAAAUUAUUCUUUUCAAUUAGAGGGUGAACUCUAUUAUAUUAAUUGACUCUACUUUGAUUAGAAAAAUAAUACAUAAUCUUAGAAGGGACGUUUAGACUUUGCUUUUUAAUUUUGUAUUUUUAUAGAGUUGACAUUGAGAGAGCAGAAUUAUGGUUUGAAAUGCUCUUAACUACUACUAUUUAACCACGUAAACUAUAAGCUAUAAACCAAUAAUUUUUCUAUGUUUGAGGCACAUAGUAUUUAUGUCUUAUGUUAUGUCACAUGUAUUGAAAAAUAUGUCUACAUGGGAUGGGACCCUGGUGUACCCGCACAUACACAAAUUUGUCCUUGCUCAGUCGCUACAUAUAUGGAUGUUAUUACAACGUCGGUAUACAGAGACGUGCUUUGCCUUCUUCACUGCAAAGAAGGUUAGAUAAAUAGUUUGGUUUGGAGGUGAGGUGAGGCCCAGCAAAAAGAUGGCGGUGGUCAACGUGAGCGUGAGGGAGUCAACGUUGGUGAAGCCGGCGGAGGAGACGCCGAGGCAGGUGCUGUGGAUGACCAACUUGGACCUUGUGAUUUUGGGCAACCACACGCCAAGCGUCUACUUCUACAGGCAGAACCAAAACAGUGUGCACGGUCAUCAUAACAACUUCUUCGACCCGCAGGUGCUCAAGCAGGCGCUAAGCAAGGCCCUCGUGCCCUUCUACCCGUUGGCGGGGCGCCUCGGGAUGGAAGGCAACGGCCGCGGCGAGAUCGACUGCAAUUCGGAGGGCGCGCUGUUUGUCGUGGCUGAGACGGGCUCAACCAUCGACGAUUUCGGCGACUUCGCGCCGACUCUCGAGUUCCGGAAGCUCAUCCCAGCCGUUGAUUAUUCGACAGGGAUAUCAACUUAUCCCCUCUUGGUGUUGCAGGUAUGUUUAAAAUCGCUAGUGUCGUUUCAUUACUUGAUCUUGACCGUAGAUUAAACGCUUCGGUCAACAUUUCACCCAGCUGACUUGGUUGAAUGAUAGUUGAUGAUGAAAUUUUAUUUAUUUGGUAAUUGAAAGGAUAACAAAAAACACAAAAAAAGAGGAAAGCAGAAGCAUCUGGUGGCACUGCCACACUUUAUCAUGAAAUGAUAUUUGUAUUUAUUGAUUAAUAUUUGAAUUAAUAAAAAAUAUUAACUAUGCCGACAGAGAGACUAUAUUACCUAAAGAGUGAUGCUAUUUCUCUAUUUUCUCACUCAUCUUAUUUUCCUAUUCAAUAUAUAAAUUUUAAUAAAUACAAUUAUAUUUUUUCACCCUCUAUUAUUCCUAGAAUACCUUUUACAAAAUUAAAUGAAAAAAAAGUUAAUCAAGCUCUCUUCUCCAAGUCACCCCCAACCUCUUGCUCUCCUCUGCCAUCACCACCAUCCCUCCAACCCAUCUGUAAAACCCAUAAAUUUGUUUUCUCCUAAUUGAAUUUUGCUUUAACAUUAUCUGCCCAAAUUAAUUCCCUAUUUAUUUACAUAAAUUUCAAAUGAAGCCUGCAUAAUAAUAACUCACCCAACAUCCCCUACACUGCGAUAUUCCAAUUUUUAUUUCUGUAGUUUCAAAAGAGCUCUUCCUGUUUUUAUGAUACUGCAACAGCAUAAAAAUUCCAGUACCACAUGUUUUGGCAAACUCGUGCAAAAUAACAAGCAGCUGGAAAAAAAAAAUACAAAUGUUUCAGAGAGUGAACCUUAUUUUACUUGCCUAGAUAAAACUGACCAAGAUUGAAUUAAAGAUGAACAUCAAAUGGUGUUGAUUAAGCAAACAGAGGAUGAAGAGUCCAAAAAAAUGAUAAAAGAAGCGUCACAAAUAGAAGAAUUUAUUUCAAUCCUUAGAAGUUAUUUUACAUAAGGAUAAAUUUGUCUUUAAAAUUUUGAGAAUAAGAUAGGGGGAAAAAUAGGACAUAAGGUGAAAAUAGCAGCAUUCUUCUUAAAAUAUGUAUUUCGGAAGAAUUAGAGCAUGUGCGACACUUUAAUAUCCAGGUAAUUAUGAUUAGAUGGAGUUUAACUGAAUAAAAACGAGUCUAUUGUGAUUAGAUGGGAUCUUCUUUUCCUCAAUAUCAACUGGCUGAUUUAUAUGCUGCUGUCAAGUCCAUUUACUUCAACUAUCUACUUUAGUACUUUUGGAAACUACUUUUCCUCACAGGCGAAAAGUUUUGUUGUUUACGUAUACAAGUUAAGCUGCCAAUCUUGAUUCCAAGCAUAAAUGUUUGUCCUGUUGUUUCACGUUGUAUCAGUUAAUAGAAUUUGGAGAACCACCGGCCAAAAACAGUAGAAUAAUCCCCGCAAAGAAAGGAACAAUUAAUAUAUACUAUAAAUGAUAAUGAAGACACGUGGAGCAGUUUGGGUGGAGACAUUGUUGGGCAGUUUCAAACCACAUACUAUUUUGUUUUCUUCUUAUAAUUAUGAAAACGAUACCCGUUGAUGCAUUGAGGGACAGAGACAAUUCGACAGUUGACGAGUGUUCUUUACUUUGUAGUUUGUAUGGAUUCUUCAAUACUUCGAGUCCAACCUGCAUUCGUCUGUCUACUUGUUGCCACUUAGAUGAGCUUAAUAGGGAGUUUUAAUUACAAUUAUGGUAGUUAAUAAAAUGUUUGAAAUAAAUUAUAAAUAAAAUAUGAAAUUUAGUGACAAUGAUGUAAAAACGUAGGAAUAUUAUGACUUCUUAUAUCAUACUGGUCAUUUAAAUUUGAAAUUGAAUUUUAUAUAUAGAUUUAUAGAAUGAUGAGUAUAUGUUUAGGAAAUAGAAAAUGUAGGGACUUAUAUUGGACAAGCCCUAAUUCUUUAAGCCAAGUUAUUGUCUUCCUGUUAUAUCUGAGUGGAUGCGUUUUCUUUUUGGUGGAUUAGAGAAUAGUUUUACCCCACUAUACAAUUCCAAGUGCUCACCCCUUCUUUUAUUUCUCUUGCUCAUAAUAUCAUCCUGGAUAUGACUUAAACUUACAAAGUAUGGUUCGGGUUUUACUCUGUUUAUGCAUCAGGUCACAUACUUCAAAUGUGGUGGAGUGUCACUUGGUGUUGGCCUGGAACAUCGUGUAGCAGAUGGCCUUUCUGGUCUCCACUUUGUAAAUACAUGGUCUGAUAUUGCUCGAGGUCUUGACCUGACAAUUCCACCAUUCAUUGACAGGACAUUACUUCGUGCCCGAUACCCACCACAGCCUGCAUUCGAUCACAUUGAAUACCAACCCGAUCCACCCAUUAAAACUGGUACAAAAGCUGUAGGUGAUGAGAGCGCAACGGUAUCCAUUUUUAGAUUGACAAGGGAGCAGCUCAACAUCUUGAAAGCCAAGUCUAAGGAAGAUGGGAACACAAUCAACUAUACCACAUAUGAGAUGUUGGCAGGCCAUGUUUGGAGAUGUGCAUCUGUGGCACGUGAACUUCCUGAUGAUCAAGAGACCAAACUACAUAUUGCAGUUGAUGGAAGGUCCAGACUGCAACCCCCACUCCCACCUGGUUUCUUUGGCAAUGUGGUUUUUGCAGGCGCACCAAUUGCUGCAGCAGGGGAUCUCAAAUCAAAACCAACAUGGUAUGCUGCAAGCUGUAUUCAUGAUACUGUUGUGCGUAUGGACAACGAUUAUCUUAGAUCAGCACUGGACUAUCUUGAACUUCAGCCUGACCUGUCACCCCUUGUUCGCGGAGCUCAUACUUUUAGGUGCCCGAGACUUGGAAUAACUAGUUGGUCUAGGCUGCCGAUCUAUGAUGCUGAUUUCGGUUGGGGUCGACCUAUUUUCAUGGGGCCUGGUGGAAUGGGAUAUGAGGGGUUGGCUUUUGUGUUACCAAGUGCAACAAAUGAUGGAAGUUUAUCGGUGGCCAUUUCUCUGCAAUCUCAACAUAUGCAAUCAUUCUCCAAGUUGUUGUAUGAGAUAUAAGGAAAUGAAAUGCGUCGAAUGGGGGCAAUACGUUGAACAGACUUCGGGCUUCUGUGUGUGUCCUCUGAGUUCUGGGACUUUGCAUUGACUCUAGCCUAGCUGAUCGGAAAGCAGCUGUUUUUGAAAAGUUCAAGUGGUCUUUUGGUUAAUCUAUAUUAGAGGAUCUGUUUUAGAAACAACCUAGUACUGAAUAAGAUUGUCAGAGUAUCUGUAAGCUUUGUUUAUUGCUGUGGAGGACUUCUUUUUCGGAGUAUCUGUAGUUUACUGUGAUUGUUAAUAAGGUUUUCUUUCUCCAUGAAACAAAAACAUACUGAAUCACUUUGG
Molecule: long non-coding RNA, 16117 nt
Filed under: Prunus persica (peach)
Lineage: Eukaryota; Viridiplantae; Streptophyta; Magnoliopsida; Rosales; Rosaceae
Description: long non-coding RNA (PPER_LNC003097)
Source: RNAcentral